AACGAACGCUGGCGGCAUGCCUAACACAUGCAAGUCGAACGAGACCUUCGGGUCUAGUGGCGCACGGGUGCGUAACGCGUGGGAACCUGCCCUUAGGUUCGGAAUAACUCCCCGAAAGGGGUGCUAAUACCGGAUAAUGUCUUCGGACCAAAGAUUUAUCGCCUUGGGAGGGGCCCGCGUGGGAUUAGCUAGUGGGUAGGGUAAAAGCCGACCAAGGCGACGAUCCAUAGCUGGUCUGAGAGACUGAUCAGCCACACUGGGACUGAGACACGGCCCAGACUCCUACGGGAGGCAGCAGUGGGUAAUAUUGGACAAUGGGCUAAAGCCUGAUCCUGCAAUGCCGCGUGAGUGCUGAAGGCCUUAGGGUUGUAAAGCUCUUUUACCCGGGAUGAUAAUGACAGUACCGGGAGAAUAAGCUCCGGCUAACUCCGUG
This 433-nucleotide ribosomal RNA is filed under the name uncultured bacterium. Its description in RNAcentral is "partial 16S ribosomal RNA". It matches the Rfam family "Bacterial small subunit ribosomal RNA", at positions 29 to 507 of the family's 1533-position model. The record is from RNAcentral.